Trifolium pratense (red clover) is the source of this 540-nucleotide long non-coding RNA. RefSeq lists it as uncharacterized. The record is from RefSeq and is a predicted model, not a curated record. NCBI's taxonomy places the organism in Eukaryota, Viridiplantae, Streptophyta, Magnoliopsida, Fabales, Fabaceae. The transcript is spliced from 5 exons.
AUUUUCAACAUUUAGUUCUUUUACAAACUUUGAUUUCGAUACAAAACAAACAUAUUAAAUGUAUCCAAGAGUCAAAGUGAGGGUCACAGAGCAAGAACAAGAAGACUAUGUUAAUUUAUCCUGAAAAUGAUAGUGGACUAUUUAUUGGCUUUCUUGAAGCUCAUUGAGUCCCUACACUUUGAAGAAGAGGAAAAUCAGAGUAAAAGUCGACUAUCAAUUUCCACAAACACAAAGGCUUGUCCUUAACAUAUAAUAACAAGGAGAUUCACUCCUUCAACUAAAGGAAUAGUGAAGAAUAGCAAACGAGUUGGUGAGGGUCCAAAAGAAAAUACAAGAGCUAGUCCUCCUGUCAUACGCCCACGCGCAGUUUUAUCUAGUCCUGGCUUGCAGCGUUUCAAGACUUUGUUUCAUUUCAAAUAAAGAAGGGCGCGUGGCAGAAGACUAUUAGUUUAACGUUAAGUAGCAGUUGGUUAGUUUUUUCUAUAAAUAGUACUACUUCGUCCCAAAAUAUAAGCAAAAGGAGGUCAACAAAAGUGAAUG